CCACCGCCACAUUGGCUUUGGCAGGUGGCACCACAGUAAUCAGGCGUGUUACCACACCAACCAAAUUGGCUACAACAUAGGCCUCCUGGGCAUAAGGCACCCCCAGCUUGCCUUCCACAUUGCUCAGCUGAAGUUCCAAGCAAAAGGUACGCCAACAGCAGACAAGAAACUGUGAAAGCCGAAGCCCUCAUGUCUAUAUAUGUUAUUUUUGUGAUAUAAUUAU
Molecule: unclassified non-coding RNA, 223 nt
Filed under: Hevea brasiliensis (rubber tree)
Lineage: Eukaryota; Viridiplantae; Streptophyta; Magnoliopsida; Malpighiales; Euphorbiaceae
Source: RNAcentral